CAGUCGCCACGGUAAUACGUAGGGUGCAAGCGUUAAUCGGAAUUACUGGGCGUAAAGCGUGCGCAGGCGGUUAUAUAAGACAGAUGUGAAAUCCCCGGGCUCAACCUGGGACCUGCAUUUGUGACUGUAUAGCUAGAGUACGGUAGAGGGGGAUGGAAUUCCGCGUGUAGCAGUGAAAUGCGUAGAUAUGCGGAGGAACACCGAUGGCGAAGGCAAUCCCCUGGACCUGUACUGACGCUCAUGCACGAAAGCGUGGGGAGCAAACAGGAUUAGAUACCCCUGUAGUCCCUGUCUCUUAUAU
This 301-nucleotide ribosomal RNA is filed under the name uncultured bacterium. RNAcentral describes it as "partial 16S ribosomal RNA". It matches the Rfam family "Bacterial small subunit ribosomal RNA", at positions 509 to 809 of the family's 1533-position model. The record is from RNAcentral.